RNAcentral lists this ribosomal RNA (510 nucleotides) under uncultured bacterium. RNAcentral's name for it is "partial 16S ribosomal RNA". It matches the Rfam family "Bacterial small subunit ribosomal RNA", at positions 28 to 507 of the family's 1533-position model. The record is from RNAcentral.
GACGAACGCUGGCGGCGUGCUUAACACAUGCAAGUCGAACGAAGAGCGAUGGAAGCUUGCUUCUAUCAAUCUUAGUGGCGAACGGGUGAGUAACGCGUAAUCAACCUGCCCUUCAGAGGGGGACAACAGUUGGAAACGACUGCUAAUACCGCAUACGAUCUAAUCUCGGCAUCGAGGAUAGAUGAAAGGUGGCCUCUACAUGUAAGCUAUCACUGAAGGCGGGGAUUGCGUCUGAUUAGCUAGUUGGAGGGGUAACGGCCCACCAAGGCGAUGAUCAGUAGCCGGUCUGAGAGGAUGAACGGCCACAUUGGGACUGAGACACGGCCCAGACUCCUACGGGAGGCAGCAGUGGGGAAACUUCCGCAAUGGACGAAAGUCUGACGGAGCAACGCCGCGUGAGUGAUGACGGCCUUCGGGUUGUAAAGCUCUGUUAAUCGGGACGAAAGGCCUUCUUGCGAAUAGUGAGAAGGAUUGACGGUACCGGAAUAGAAAGCCACGGCUAACUACGUG